Ovis aries (sheep) is the source of this 73-nucleotide transfer RNA. It matches the Rfam family "tRNA". From Rfam's summary of the family: Transfer RNA (tRNA) molecules are approximately 80 nucleotides in length. Their secondary structure includes four short double-helical elements and three loops (D, anti-codon, and T loops). NCBI's taxonomy places the organism in Eukaryota, Metazoa, Chordata, Mammalia, Artiodactyla, Bovidae. The record is from Rfam.
UUCCUGGUGGUCCAGUGGUUAAGACUCUCCACUGCCAAAGCAGAGGGCUCAGGUUCAAUCCCUGGUCAGGGAA